This 73-nucleotide transfer RNA is filed under the name Nitratiruptor sp. YY09-18. RNAcentral describes it as "tRNA-Gly". It matches the Rfam family "tRNA". From Rfam's summary of the family: Transfer RNA (tRNA) molecules are approximately 80 nucleotides in length. Lineage: Bacteria; Pseudomonadati; Campylobacterota; Epsilonproteobacteria; Nautiliales; Nitratiruptoraceae. The record is from RNAcentral.
GCGGGAGUAGCUCAGGGGCUAGAGCACCACCUUGCCAAGGUGGGGGUCGCGGGUUCGAAUCCCGUCUCCCGCU